Molecule: long non-coding RNA, 1016 nt
Organism: Acipenser ruthenus (sterlet)
Lineage: Eukaryota; Metazoa; Chordata; Actinopteri; Acipenseriformes; Acipenseridae
Exons: 3
Source: RefSeq, a predicted model, not a curated record
GGCAAUUCUAUCUUUGGAGUAAGGGGGGAGUUUGCGUAGCAGCUACAGGAAUAUAGAAUGACAAAUGAAUUAGUAAUGAGUUUGGAAGACGAUGAUAAACUCCUAUUGAGAGAAGAUACCACUUUGAAAGCAGCAGCAGUAGCAAAUGAAACAGAACUAAGGAAGGAAGGAAGAUUACGAAAGAUACAAAGCAAACCCCACAACUAUGUGGUGAAAGGGAUAUACAUUCACAAAGUGUGAAACAAGUGCAUUCACGUAGUUUGGGACCCGGCUAAGGUGUCUGUAUUGUAGUGCAGACAAAUGUGAUCCAGACCGUAAUUGCAAGUAAUACGUUUCUUUAAUAGUUCCAAACUUAAACAAAUUAAACACACAGAAGUUCUUCACAGUUAAUAACUACUGACAUGAACACAGUAAAGGACCGUUUGCACUGGAACUCAGGUAACUACUUGGUGGUUUUCUUCAAUUUCCCUUUUCCUUGUGUUGGUUUGUUGCUGUGUCCCCUUUUCUCUCUUUCCAGGUUCUGGGGAGCUUCCAGCAGAUGGUGCUGUGGAGUCAGGUUGUAAACUCGAACCGAGUGCAGCGUCGCGUUCUCCUCUGCUAUUUUAAUUUCGCCCGUCGUAUUAUCAGUUGUUCCAGCUGUCCAUUCAGGAUACUGGGCUGGAAUCGCUUCUACAGCUGCCUUUAUUGUUGGGCUUGUACUCCUGUGUCUGCUGGCUGUUUGCAGCAUUAAAAGAUCGUUUGUUUUUUUUUUGCAUGGAGAAGUGCUACAGCUGCAGGUCUACCUGAAGGUCUGCAAAACACCACUGCAUCACAGCUUGCUUUUGAAGAGGUUUGAUAUAACAAAAGUGCAGUGUCUCUAAGUAAUCUUUAAUUUGACAUAAUUUCUCAGUACAUUUCCUGUGCGUUUACUUAAUUAUUCUGGGCACUUAUUAUUUUUAUUUUAACCUUGUUGACAAGCCAUUUUGUUUAAGCCCAAGUUUUACCUUUUGGGGCACAAGCUUUCUCUCCUAAUUAAC